RNAcentral lists this ribosomal RNA (45 nucleotides) under Diaporthe phaseolorum. RNAcentral's name for it is "partial 28S ribosomal RNA". Lineage: Eukaryota; Fungi; Ascomycota; Sordariomycetes; Diaporthales; Diaporthaceae. The record is from RNAcentral.
UGACCUCGGAUCAGGUAGGAAUACCCGCUGAACUUAAGCAUAUAU